UGGGGAAUUUUGGACAAUGGGCGAAAGCCUGAUCCAGCAAUGCCGCGUGUGUGAAGAAGGCCUUCGGGUUGUAAAGCACUUUUGUCCGGAAAGAAAUCCUUGGCUCUAAUACAGUCGGGGGAUGACGGUACCGGAAGAAUAAGCACCGGCUAACUACGUGCCAGCAGCCGCGGUAAUACGUAGGGUGCAAGCGUUAAUCGGAAUUACUGGGCGUAAAGCGUGCGCAGGCGGUUUGCUAAGACCGAUGUGAAAUCCCCGGGCUCAACCUGGGAACUGCAUUGGUGACUGGCAGGCUAGAGUAUGGCAGAGGGGGGUAGAAUUCCACGUGUAGCAGUGAAAUGCGUAGAGAUGUGGAGGAAUACCGAUGGCGAAGGCAGCCCCCUGGGCCAAAUACUGACGCUCAUGCACGAAAGCGUGGGGAGCAGACAGGAUUAGAUACCCUGGUAGUCCACGCCCUAAACGAUGUCAACUAGUUGUUGGGGAUUCAUUUCCUUAGUAACGUAGCUAACGCGUGAAGUUGACCGCCUGGGGAGUACGGUCGCAAG
Molecule: ribosomal RNA, 545 nt
Filed under: uncultured bacterium
Lineage: Bacteria
Description: partial 16S ribosomal RNA
Rfam family: Bacterial small subunit ribosomal RNA
Source: RNAcentral